ACAGUAUAAACAGUAGCUUAAUAGAUAAAAUUAAAUUUAAAUUAUUUUUAAUAGAAAUAUCAAUAUAUAAGAACAGACAAACCGACAAAUAAUGAGAAAACCAAAAUAUGUCAAGGGUAAUUCACCCUAAUUUCUAAAUGGUACAGUAAUCAGUACCACAAAAUAAAUAGGGAUUUUCAACCUAAUUAAUCCUCAAAGCAAAAUUUCGCACUCGGGUGUUCAACCUCUAAUCUGCUCCAACAGGCACAAAUUGCAGCCUCUCCAUGAUCAUUGCAAAGUCAGGGUUUCUAUGUUUUUUUUUUAAAAAAAAAGCAUAAUUUUACACAAAAUUGUUACCUGCUGACAACAUUCCUGCUAAUGUCUCACAAAUUGUCGUUUAUCAUCUCCAUCACUCUGCCUUCCAUAAGGGUUGCUCUCAUUGAACCCAUUUUUACUCCCUUUAUGCUUUUUCUUUCUAAAUUUGGAAGCAUUACUGUCUAUGUUCAGAUUCACCUUUGGUGGACAAGAAAAGCAAAAUGAAGCUGCAACCGCCUGUUAAAAUCCAACAACAUUAGCCAUUUUAUUGUGUGUCACAGUAUGAUCUGGUAAUGUUACCAAGGAUACACUAAUUGGAAGCUAUGGCCGCAUAUAUCUUCUAAAGACAGGGUCUUGCAAUCAAAUUUCCCUUUACAAUUUCCUUGAUCACACAGGAAAUAACAAACACGCAGAUUGCAUCAGUUUUCGUAAAAAAUGAUCUCACAAUUUAAGUCGUUCGUAGCAAAGUUUUCUCAUAAUAAUUAAUAAAUAGUUAAUUUUGGAUCUAAACUUUGUUGUCCAUGAAGCAAAAUUACUGGACAAACUCACUCCACGCGUUAUCCGACUUAAGAUAAAUUCAUUCUCAAACACAAUUGCAUUUAGAAUGUAAGGACAGAGUGUAGAAAUGAUACCUGUAGAUCAAGGCAGUGGACAUUAAAUAUGUCUUUCAUAGAGUGUGAAUUGUAGGCCAAUACGUAGGAUCGAUAUGCAUCUUUAGCAGAUUUGUUCAAAUAAUAGUUGUUUGCCACCAACUUCUCCUGCAUCAAUCCAAUAGUCUAGUUUAAGCUCCUUUGCUCCCAGUUAUUAGGAAAAGAUAAGGUGUCAAGGAAAGCAAGAAAAAUACCAGAUGAGACUGAACGUUUGCCAGCUUCUUAUCAUCAAAUUCAUAUUCUUUAACGGGGACUUUUGCCCCCUGGAAGUACGUACGCAGUUAGAAUAUGGAACAAGCAAUUAUAAUAGCAAACUUAAAUUCAUUAAUUAUUUUCCUCUUCAAUCUAAUGGUUACCAGACUUCAAGCUCACUUGUUUGCUUUUUAAUUCAAGAGGCAAAACCCCCAAGAAAGCAUUAUGGUCCUAAUGACAAGACAUCCUCUAUAGCACUUACUGAUUGAAAAAUAAAUCAAAUAAUCAUUUAAGGAGGUGUCCACUAAAUAAAAAAAUAGGAGAUGCAAAUCAGCACCCCUGUUAGGAUUUUACUAUACCUUCAGAUAGCGCAGAAACUGCAGCUCUUCUGGAAUCAGAAAAAGCAGGGCAUUUCCUUUCGCACCUUCUCCACGUGCUGUACGGCCAACCCUAUGAAUGUACUCCUUGGGUUCAUCAGGAGGAUCAUACUGCACUAUCCAGUCCACAUCAGGAAUAUCAAGUCCACGAGCAGCAACAUCAGUACAUAGCAAGAUCCCCUUCUCUGCUUUGCAGAAAUCAAAAAAGGUAGAGGUCCGUUUCUGCUGCUUUUGUUUUCCAUGGAUAUCAAGGCAUUCAACUUGAAUGUAUCUGAGAAGUUCAGAAUGGAACUUGACUGAGUUACAUGAAGAGAAGAAGACCAUCACUUUCUUUGAUAAAUUCCUCUUCAGAAAUGAGUAGAGAAGAAUAAAUCUCUUGGCACUAGGCACUACACAAUAACCUUGCUGCAACCCUUCAUUUGUGACCUUAGUUCUUCCAUCAUCCACAUCAAUAUAGAUAGGAGUAGUCUGAAAUGACAAGCGGGCAAGAUCCUCAACCUGUAAGUUAAUAAAACAACCACUAUCAGCAUGGUCAAUUAGAAAACAACACACUAAAUUUCACAACAGAAAAGAGGAAAGUCUGAGAUUUUUAUUGGAUUAUUAAAUAUAUCUACAGAAGACGAGCCAUUUGAUACAUUUAACACAUAUACAUGGGUAAGUGAUCCACUGCAGAAAAUAAAUUUAAGCCAAAAACAAAGUUUUUGAGCACAAACCUUCUUUGUUUGAGUUGCUGAAAAUAAAGCAGUUUGCCUACUCUUUGGCAGAAGCUUGAUAAUUUGUUUCAUUUCUUCCUCAAAGUUAGCCUCCAAUAUCCUAUCCGCUUCAUCAAUCAUGAGGCACUUCAAGUUCUUAUAUAUAAAUCCCUUCGUAUUUUGAAGAUGAUCAAGAAGUCGACCAGGAGUUGCAACCAAUAAAUUUACCCCUUUAACGAUACGUUCUGCUUCUCCUUUUCUAGCAGAACCCCCAAUGACCAAGCCAAGAGUUUGCGAGUGAUAUUUGAGAAGGUCCUUUGCAACAGCAUGAGUCUGUAUGGCAAGUUCCCUUGUUGGGCAAAUGACAACAACGCCUGUUCCAUUGCGAGGAGUGAAACUGACAUUAUAUAACAACUCCACAGCUGGUAUUAAGAAAGCAAGUGUUUUCCCAGAACCUGUCCUUGCAGCACCAAGAACAUCUUUGCCGAUUAGAAGGGGUGGAAUUGCUCUAGCUUGUAUCUUAGUCAAAUACUGAAAUCCCAUCUCCUGAAUGGCCUUGAGAGUAGGUUCAGAUAAUCCUAAAGAGUCAAAGGACUCUACACUCAUAAUCCCACUCUCACUCUUCACCUUUUUCUCCGCCUUCUCCCCAUCCUCUUCCUCCUUCCGCUUUCGCUUCGGCUGCUCAUCAGCCAUAGCUACUUCCGCUUCUAAUUUGGAAUUCUAGGUUUAGGCAUAAACAAACAAGAAAUAGACAAAAUAUAAAAGAAAUCAAUUGUAGCUAUGGAUGCAACAGCUAAAUUGGAUAUAAUUCCGUUCUCCAACAAUCUGGUGGCCAGAGAAAUCAAUCAAUGAUUUCUACUCAAUCAAAGCAACUUAAGAAAUCAAGUCAAGGCAAAACUGCAGGAUUUUAAUCUAAAAGUGCAGAAAUGAAGAUGCAAAACAGUACGAUUUAAAUAUUAAACUGCAGCAAUUCAAUGCAGAAGUGCAAAAUUUAAAAGAUCAAGGAUUGUUUUAGCAAAAACUGAUCCUAAACUAUACACCAUCAUGAAAUCCCACAAGAGUUGACAAAUAUGGAUCAUGGCUUAGCCCUCUUACACAGUAAUUUCUGCUCUCAAGAUGAAAUUUGUGAAACUAGUACUUGUUACUUAGUUUUGUGAAAUCCAUAAAGCUGAAAAUAUUUGGAUUUGCAUCAAAAUUAAUAAAACAAUUCAAUAACAGAAAGAAGGAUAAAUUUCUAUCCAAAAAUUAUAAUGGUUGCAAAAUAGAACUAUAAAUCCAUGAUCAACUAAUGACAAUAAAGAGCUAAAAGUGCAGCAUUUUUUUCUUUUCUAGGUGCAAAACUAAAGCAAGCAGAUUGAAAGGAAACAGAAAAGCACCUGCUUAUGUUUAAGAUAAAGAAAGAAGAGGACAGAAGCUACAAGGUCCUUGUGUGAGAGAACAACAGCAAUGGCUCCUACAGUAAGGCCCAAGCUGAUACAGUUACACUUAUUGCUUUGUAAAAUGCACCUCCACUGAACU
This 3723-nucleotide unclassified non-coding RNA is filed under the name Hevea brasiliensis (rubber tree). The record is from RNAcentral. Lineage: Eukaryota; Viridiplantae; Streptophyta; Magnoliopsida; Malpighiales; Euphorbiaceae.